GAUGAACGCUGGCGGCGUGCCUAAUACAUGCAAGUCGAACGAAGCGGGGACGGGUGAGUAACACGUGGAUAACCUCCUAUAAGACUGGGAUAACUUCGGGAAACCGGUGCUAAACCAGAUACUUAUAGAUGGAUCCGCGGUGCAUUAGCUAGUUGGUAAGGUAACGGAUUACAAAGGCAACGAGGCAUAUCCGACCUGCGAGGUGGAUCGGCCACACUGGAACUGAGAAACGGUCCAGACUCCUACGGGAGGCAGCAGUAGGGAAUCUUCGGCAAUGGGCGAAAGCCUGACGGAGCAACGCCGCGUGAGUGAUGAAGGUCUUCGGAUCGUAAAACUCUGUUAUUAGGGAAGCGGUACCUAAUCAGAAAGCCACGGCUAACUACGUGCCAGCAGCCGCGGUAAUUC
Molecule: ribosomal RNA, 405 nt
Filed under: uncultured bacterium
Lineage: Bacteria
Description: partial 16S ribosomal RNA
Rfam family: Bacterial small subunit ribosomal RNA
Source: RNAcentral